AUUGAACGCUGGCGGCAGGCCUAACACAUGCAAGUCGAGCGGAUGACGGGAGCUUGCUCCUUGAUUCAGCGGCGGACGGGUGAGUAAUGCCUAGGAAUCUGCCUGGUAGUGGGGGACAACGUUUCGAAAGGAACGCUAAUACCGCAUACGUCCUACGGGAGAAAGCAGGGGACCUUCGGGCCUUGCGCUAUCAGAUGAGCCUAGGUCGGAUUAGCUAGUUGGUGAGGUAAUGGCUCACCAAGGCGACGAUCCGUAACUGGUCUGAGAGGAUGAUCAGUCACACUGGAACGGAGACACGGUCCAGACUCCUACGGGAGGCAGCAGUGGGGAAUAUUGGACAAUGGGCGAAAGCCUGAUCCAGCCAUGCCGCGUGUGUGAAGAAGGUCUUCGGAUUGUAAAGCACUUUAAGUUGGGAGGAAGGGCAGUAAGUUAAUACCUUGCUGUUUUGACGUUACCGACAGAAUAAGCACCGGCUAACCCUGUGCCAGCAGCCGCCGUAA
Molecule: ribosomal RNA, 500 nt
Filed under: uncultured bacterium
Lineage: Bacteria
Description: partial 16S ribosomal RNA
Rfam family: Bacterial small subunit ribosomal RNA
Source: RNAcentral